Molecule: ribosomal RNA, 491 nt
Filed under: uncultured bacterium
Lineage: Bacteria
Description: partial 16S ribosomal RNA
Rfam family: Bacterial small subunit ribosomal RNA
Source: RNAcentral
GAUGAACGCUAGCUACAGGCUUAACACAUGCAAGUCGAGGGGAAACGACGGGGAAGCUUGCUUCCCCGGGCGUCGACCGGCGCACGGGUGAGUAACGCGUAUCCAACCUGCCUCUGACUGAGGGAUAACCCGUCGAAAGUCGGCCUAAUACCUCAUGGUAUCGUCUGCGGGCAUCCAACGACGAUUAAAGAUUUCAUCGGUCAGGGAUGGGGAUGCGUUUGAUUAGCUUGUUGGCGGGGUAACGGCCCACCAAGGCUACGAUCAGUAGGGGUUCUGAGAGGAAGGUCCCCCACAUUGGAACUGAGACACGGUCCAAACUCCUACGGGAGGCAGCAGUGAGGAAUAUUGGUCAAUGGGCGAGAGCCUGAACCAGCCAAGUAGCGUGCAGGAAGACGGCCCUAUGGGUUGUAAACUGCUUUUAUGCGGGGAUAAAGUGAGGGACGUGUCCCUCAUUGCAGGUACCGCAUGAAUAAGGACCGGCUAAUUCCGUG